Molecule: ribosomal RNA, 462 nt
Filed under: Nocardia cerradoensis
Lineage: Bacteria; Bacillati; Actinomycetota; Actinomycetes; Mycobacteriales; Nocardiaceae
Description: bacterial SSU rRNA
Rfam family: Bacterial small subunit ribosomal RNA
Source: RNAcentral
GACGAACGCUGGCGGCGUGCUUAACACAUGCAAGUCGAGCGGUAAGGCCCUUCGGGGUACACGAGCGGCGAACGGGUGAGUAACACGUGGGUGAUCUGCCUCGCACUCUGGGAUAAGCCUGGGAAACUGGGUCUAAUACCGGAUAUGACCACCAAUCGCAUGGUUGGUGGUGGAAAGAUUUAUCGGUGCGAGAUGGGCCCGCGGCCUAUCAGCUUGUUGGUGGGGUAAUGGCCUACCAAGGCGACGACGGGUAGCCGGCCUGAGAGGGCGACCGGCCACACUGGGACUGAGACACGGCCCAGACUCCUACGGGAGGCAGCAGUGGGGAAUAUUGCACAAUGGGCGGAAGCCUGAUGCAGCGACGCCGCGUGAGGGAUGACGGCCUUCGGGUUGUAAACCUCUUUCGACAGGGACGAAGCGCAAGUGACGGUACCUGUAGAAGAAGCACCGGCCAACUACGUG